Molecule: ribosomal RNA, 389 nt
Filed under: uncultured bacterium
Lineage: Bacteria
Description: bacterial SSU rRNA
Rfam family: Bacterial small subunit ribosomal RNA
Source: RNAcentral
AACGAACGCUGGCGGCGCGCUUAACACAUGCAAGUCGAACGAGAAGGCGUAGCAAUACGCUUGUACAGUGGCGAACGGGUGAGGAAUACAUGGGUAACCUACCCUCGAGUGGGGGAUAACCCGCCGAAAGGCGGGCUAAUACCGCGUACGCUUCCGAUCUUGCGGGAUCGGAAGGAAAGCUGUCCCUUGGGGAUGGCGCUCAAGGAUGGGCUCAUGUCCUAUCAGCUUGCGGUAGGGUAACGGCCUACCAAGGCAUCGACGGGUAGCUGGUCUGAGAGGACGAUCAGCCACACUGGCACUGCGACACGGGCCAGACUCCUACGGGAGGCAGCAGUGAGGAAUAUUGCGCAAUGGGCGAAAGACCUGACGCAGCGACGCCGCGUGGGGGA